Molecule: long non-coding RNA, 206 nt
Filed under: Phoenix dactylifera (date palm)
Lineage: Eukaryota; Viridiplantae; Streptophyta; Magnoliopsida; Arecales; Arecaceae
Description: long non-coding RNA (PDAC_LNC012398)
Source: RNAcentral
CACUCCAAAACAGAAAACUGAAUCAGAAGAAUCUGAUGAUGAGGAGGAAUAUGAUGAAGAAGGAAUGGCUAUGCUUGCAAGAAAAUUAAGAAAGUUCAUGAGAGGAAAGAAGAAAUUUCAUAAAAGGAAGCCCUUCCUCAAAGGUAGCUCAAGCAAGGAAAAGGGUAAGAACAAAGAAAAGAAAAAGGAAACACCAAUUUGCUAUG